This 164-nucleotide ribosomal RNA is filed under the name uncultured bacterium. RNAcentral describes it as "partial 16S ribosomal RNA". It matches the Rfam family "Bacterial small subunit ribosomal RNA", at positions 355 to 511 of the family's 1533-position model. The record is from RNAcentral.
UAGGGAAUCUUCCACAAUGGACGCAAGCCUGAUGGAGCAACACCGCGUGAGUGAAGAAGGGUUUCGGCUCGUAAAGCUCUGUUGUUAAAGAAGAACACGUAUGAGAGUAACUGUUCAUACGUUGACGGUAUUUAACCAGAAAGUCACGGCUAACUACGUGUCAG